RNAcentral lists this unclassified non-coding RNA (338 nucleotides) under soil metagenome. RNAcentral's name for it is "partial contains 5.8S ribosomal RNA, internal transcribed spacer 2, and large subunit ribosomal RNA". The stretch from base 1 to 120 matches the Rfam family "5.8S ribosomal RNA", at positions 35 to 154 of the family's 154-position model. The record is from RNAcentral.
GAUGAAGAACGUAGCGAAAUGCGAUAAGUAGUGUGAAUUGCAGAAUUCAGUGAAUCAUCGAAUCUUUGAACGCACAUUGCGCCCCUUGGUAUUCCAUGGGGCAUGCCUGUUCGAGCGUCAUUUACACCCUCAAGCUCUGCUUGGUGUUGGGCGUCUGUCCCGCUGCUUUGCGCGGACUCGCCUCAAAGGUAUUGGCAGCGAUCAUGCCAGCUUCUCGCGCAGCACAUUGCGCUUCUUGAAGUUCUGGUGGAUCAGUGUCCAUUAAGCUUACCUUCAUGACUUGACCUCGGAUCAGGUAGGGAUACCCGCUGAACUUAAGCAUAUCAAUAAGCGGAGGA